ACUGUUUGGCUUGGGGCCGGAGGACUCGAGGGGUACGUCCGGGGUAGGAGUGAAAUCCCGUAAUCCUGGACGGACCACCGGUGGCGAAAGCGCCUCGAGAGGACGGACCCGACGGUGAGGAACGAAAGCCAGGGUCUCGAACCGGAUUAGAUACCCGGGUAGUCCUGGCCGUAAACGAUGUCUGCUAGGUGUGGCACAGGCUACGAGCCUGUGCUGUGCCGCAGGGAAGCCGUGAAGCAGACCGCCUGGGAAGUACGUCUGCAAGGAUGAAACUUAAAGGAAUUGGCGGGGGAGCACUACAACCGGAGGAGCCUGCGGUUUAAUUGGACUCAACGCCGGACAUCUCACCGGCACCGACAACAGUGACGACGGUCAGGUUGAUGACCUUACCCGAGUUGUUGAGAGGAGGUGCAUGGCCGCCGUCAGCUCGUACCGUGAGGCGUCCUGUUAAGUCAGGCAACGAGCGAGACCCGCAUCCUUAGUUGCCAGCAACACCAUUGGUGGUUGGGUACACUAAGGAGACUGCCGCUGCUAAAGCGGAGGAAGGAACGGGCAACGGUAGGUCAGUAUGCCCCGAAUGUGCCGGGCAACACGCGGGCUACAAUGGCCGAGACAAUGGGAUGCAAUCCCGAGAGGGAGCGCUAAUCCCCUAAACCCGGUCGUAGUUCGGAUUGAGGGCUGCAACUCGCCCUCAUGAAGCUGGAUUCGGUAGUAGUCGCGCGUCAGUAGCACGCGGCGAAUCCGUCCCUGCUCCUUGCACACACCGCCCGUCAAG
This 775-nucleotide ribosomal RNA is filed under the name uncultured archaeon. RNAcentral's name for it is "bacterial SSU rRNA". It matches the Rfam family "Archaeal small subunit ribosomal RNA", at positions 583 to 1357 of the family's 1478-position model. The record is from RNAcentral.